Molecule: ribosomal RNA, 626 nt
Filed under: uncultured bacterium
Lineage: Bacteria
Description: bacterial SSU rRNA
Rfam family: Bacterial small subunit ribosomal RNA (bases 1-528)
Source: RNAcentral
CCUACGGGAGGCAGCAGCAAGGAAUUUUCCGCAAUGGGCGAAAGCCUGACGGAGCAACGCCGCGUGGGGGAUGAAGGCCUUCGGGUUGUAAACUCCUUUUGCGAGGGAAGAAGAUCUGACGGUACCUCGCGAAUAAGCCACGGCUAACUACGUGCCAGCAGCCGCGGUAAUACGUAGGUGGCAAGCGUUGUCCGGAUUUACUGGGCGUAAAGCGCGCGCAGGCGGAUUGGUCAGUCUAGGGUGAAAUCUCCUGGCUUAACUAGGAGAGGUCCCUGGAUACUACCAGUCUUGAGGGGCUCAGAGGAGAGUGGAAUUCCCGGUGUAGUGGUGGAAUGCGUAGAUAUCGGGAGGAACACCAGUGGCGAAAGCGACUCUCUGGGGGCUACCUGACGCUGAGGCGCGAAAGCGUGGGGAGCAAACCGGAUUAGAUACCCGGGUAGUCCACGCCGUAAACGAUGAGCACUAGCUGUCGGGUAGUACGUACCCGUCCGUACGUCGCGACGCUACGACGACGUAGUAGUCUCCGUCCGUCGGGUACGGUACGGUCCGGCCGACGACGUAAACCGUAACAACGAAGUAGUACGGACGUCGAGACGACGCGACGACGACGACGACGGACGGAGGAG